This 422-nucleotide ribosomal RNA is filed under the name uncultured bacterium. RNAcentral's name for it is "bacterial SSU rRNA". It matches the Rfam family "Bacterial small subunit ribosomal RNA", at positions 39 to 455 of the family's 1533-position model. The record is from RNAcentral.
GGCCGCGGGAAUUCGAUUCAGGCCUAACACAUGCAAGUCGAGCGAUCUUCUUCGGAAGAGAGCGGCGGACGGGUGAAUAACGCGUGGGUAACCUGCCCUGUACACACGGAUAACAUACCGAAAGGUAUGCUAAUACGAGAUAACAUACUUUUAUCGCAUGGUAAAAGUAUCAAAGCUCCGGCGGUACAGGAUGGACCCGCGUCUGAUUAGCUAGUUGGUAAGGUAACGGCUUACCAAGGCGACGAUCAGUAGCCGACCUGAGAGGGUGAUCGGCCACAUUGGAACUGAGACACGGUCCAAACUCCUACGGGAGGCAGCAGUGGGGAAUAUUGCACAAGUGGGCGAAAGCCUGAUGCAGCAACGCCGCGUGAGUGAAAGAGGCCUUCGGGUCGUAAAGCUCUGUCCUCAAGGAAGAUAAUGAC